UUCCGGUUGAUCCUGCCGGAGGCUACCGCUAUUGGAGUUCGAUUAAGCCAUGCGAGUCGCGAGAAUUAGAUUCUCGGCGUACCGCUCAGUAACACGUGGGUAACCUGCCCUAUGCUGGAUAAUAACCUCGGGAAACUGAGAAUAAUGAUCUAUAGUUCACUACGCCUGGAACGGUGAGUGGAUGAAAGCCCCGGCGGCAUAGGAUGGGCCUGCGGCGUAUCAGGUUGUAGGGGGUGUAAUGUACCCUCUAGCCCUCUACGCGUACGGGUGUUGAGAGACAUUGCCCGGAGAUGGAUUCUGAGACACGAAUCCAGACCCUACGGGGUGCAGCAGGCGCGAAAACUUGGCAAUGCGAGAAAUCGUGACCAGGGAACUCCAAGUGCAUGGGGUAAGACCUAUGCUUUUCUAGACUCUAAAAAGGUCUUGGAAUAAGAGGUGGGUAAGGACGGUGCCAGCCGCCGCGGUAAUACCGGCGCCUCAAGUGGUAGUCGCUUUUAUUGGGCCUAAAACGCCCGUAGCCGGUCUGAUACAUUCGUGGGUAAAUCAACCAGCUUAACUGGUUGAAUUCUGCGAGGACGGUCAGACUUGGGACCGGGAGAGGUGUGGGGUACGCUCAGGGUAGGGGUAAAAUCCUGUCAUCCUGAGCGGACCACCUGUUGCGAAGGCGCCACACUAGAACGGAUCCGACGGUCAGGGACGAAGCCUAGGGGCACGAACCGGAUUAGAUACCCGGGUAGUCCUAGGUGUAAACGCUGUGGACUUGAUGUUGGGGGUGCUCCGAGCACUCUCAGUGUCGAAGCGAAGGCGAUAAGUCCACUGCCUGGGAAGUACGGUCGCAAGGCUGAAACUUAAAGGAAUUGGCGGGGGAGCACCGCAACCUGAGGAUUGUGCGGUUUAAUUGGAUUCAACGCCGG
RNAcentral lists this ribosomal RNA (914 nucleotides) under uncultured crenarchaeote. Its description in RNAcentral is "bacterial SSU rRNA". It matches the Rfam family "Archaeal small subunit ribosomal RNA", at positions 1 to 921 of the family's 1478-position model. Lineage: Archaea; Thermoproteati; Thermoproteota. The record is from RNAcentral.